GGUAAAAUGGCUGAGAUUUAAGCGAUAAAUUGUAAAUUUAUUAACGAAAGUUAUUUUCUUUUACU
RNAcentral lists this transfer RNA (65 nucleotides) under Curculionoidea sp. 2 KM-2017. RNAcentral's name for it is "tRNA-Tyr". It matches the Rfam family "tRNA". From Rfam's summary of the family: Transfer RNA (tRNA) molecules are approximately 80 nucleotides in length. Their secondary structure includes four short double-helical elements and three loops (D, anti-codon, and T loops). Lineage: Eukaryota; Metazoa; Arthropoda; Insecta; Coleoptera. The record is from RNAcentral.